This is a long non-coding RNA of Bos grunniens (domestic yak), 1589 nucleotides long. The record is from Ensembl. Lineage: Eukaryota; Metazoa; Chordata; Mammalia; Artiodactyla; Bovidae.
UAAAAAGAAAUAAUCUCAAGCUUUCCCGUUUAGAAGUGAAAUCCCUGGCUUUUCAUAAAUGGCUCGCUUUCCCUCACAGCACUAGAGCGAGUCCUCCUGAAGAAAAAACGACUUCGAAGUAUAAGUAAGAGCGAAGGGUGUGAGACAGAGGUUUGGGGCGUCCUAGGGGGCAACUUGGCCUGAGAAGUCUUAUCGCGAGGGGCCUUUCUCCAUCAAAAAGACAGAAAGCCCAUGUCCUCUGCCCAGCGCUGGAGCCCCGCUCAGGUUUACAGAUGCGGCGUGCGGGAGAGGAGUGGGCGGCCCACAACGAGUGUGGACGAGAAGGAGCUGGCCUCGAGAGCCUUUUCACUUCUUUAAAAAGAAAAGAAAGAAAAAGCUUCUGAGCGCAAACUUCGAAAAGUCAGGCACCAAAGUCGCGCAGAAAGGUGUCUAUCACUGCGAACGUGGUCCGGCCAUCAAAUGGGUAGCGCCUGUUCCCGACCUUUGCCCUCAAGGUUUCCUGCGCCUCCAGGACAAGCGACCUCCAGAGGAAGGACCUGUACUUAGCGUCCGCCAUUCUGUUUUCCCGGCGUCACCGUCGAAGAGUUAGAUACUCCUCACUAGAAAGGGAGACGAAGUGUCGUUGGCACCGAUUUCAGGUACGUGGAAACCGCCCUUCUCUGGGCGCAAACCUCACCAUGUCACCAGUCAAUGGAAUUACGCUCCGUUUAUUAAAUUGAUGCAACCUCCAGGUCACCCACCUACGCCUGAGUCUGGCCUCUGGAAUCCACAAAAAGCCACCCCACUCCCCAGUGACUCUGAGAUUAUGACCACCAGUCCAGUCUGACGGCUCUAGAAGCAAGAGCCGGACUCGCGGGCGCAAAGCAAGGAAUCCUCCUUUUUGAAGUCCAGGAAAAGUUCUCUGCAGCUAUUCCCAAGUUCCGCCCUCGUGGAGCCCCUGCCCCUCCCUCCAACCCGCCCUCCCGAUUAACAACCCCAUCCCCACCCUCACCACACAGGGAUGCAGGGGACAUUCCCUGCUCACCUGGAGCGGCUCGCCAGUGCCCCGAGGCGCCCACACUCGCGAAGGCCGAGAAGGGGAGGUGGGGGGGAGGCCUGUGUCCCACAGGCCAGCGAAGAGCGCGUGGCGGGUAGGAGAGGAGGGUGUCUCUGAGAGGGACGCUCCCUCUGGCCCGCCCCCCACCCGCACUGCGAGGACGCCCCCAAGGAGUCGCGCGCCCUGCCUGGAUCCGCUAGGGCUGCGGUGUGAAUGGAGCCGCCGAGACUCCUGACUCCUCCUCCUCCCCCGCCGCCGGCCCUCUUAUUUGAGCUUUGAGAAGCUGGGGGCAGCCAGGCAGCUGGGGUAAGGAGUUCAAGGCAGCGCCCACACUCGGGGGCUCUCGCAACUCGACCGCCUAUCCGCUCCCCCCUUCCCUCCCUCCCUCCCACUCAUUCACUCACCCACCCACCCAGAGCCCGGACGGCAGCCCAGGAGCCGGGGCCCCGCCGCCUCCUCGCCGCGAUCCUGGACUUCCUCCUGCGGCAAGAGCCGGCGUCCACGUGUGCCCCGGAGCCGGCGUCUUCGCACGCUCCGGCCCGGGCCUGGGUGC